UCAAGUGAAGAAGCGCAUACGGUGGAUGCCUUGGCAGUCAGAGGCGAUGAAAGACGUGGUAGCCUGCGAAAAGCUUCGGGGAGUCGGCAAACAGACUUUGAUCCGGAGAUCUCUGAAUGGGGGAACCCACCUAGGAUAACCUAGGUAUCUUGUACUGAAUCCAUAGGUGCAAGAGGCGAACCAGGGGAACUGAAACAUCUAAGUACCCUGAGGAAAAGAAAUCAACCGAGAUUCCCUUAGUAGUGGCGAGCGAACGGGGAUUAGCCCUUAAGCUUCAUUGAUUUUAGCGGAACGCUCUGGAAAGUGCGGCCAUAGUGGGUGAUAGCCCCGUACGCGAAAGGAUCUUUGAAGUGAAAUCGAGUAGGACGGAGCACGAGAAACUUUGUCUGAACAUGGGGGGACCAUCCUCCAAGGCUAAAUACUACUGACUGACCGAUAGUGAACCAGUACCGUGAGGGAAAGGCGAAAAGAACCCCGGAGAGGGGAGUGAAAUAGAACCUGAAACCGUAUGCGUACAAGCAGUGGGAGCCUACUUGUUAGGUGACUGCGUACCUUUUGUAUAAUGGGUCAGCGACUUAUAUUCAGUGGCAAGCUUAACCGUAUAGGGUAGGCGUAGCGAAAGCGAGUCUUAAUAGGGCGUUUAGUCGCUGGGUAUAGACCCGAAACCGGGCGAUCUAUCCAUGAGCAGGUUGAAGGUUAGGUAACACUGACUGGAGGACCGAACCCACUCCCGUUGAAAAGGUAGGGGAUGACUUGUGGAUCGGAGUGAAAGGCUAAUCAAGCUCGGAGAUAGCUGGUUCUCCUCGAAAGCUAUUUAGGUAGCGCCUCAUGUAUCACUCUGGGGGGUAGAGCACUGUUUCGGCUAGGGGGUCAUCCCGACUUACCAAACCGAUGCAAACUCCGAAUACCCAGAAGUGCCGAGCAUGGGAGACACACGGCGGGUGCUAACGUCCGUCGUGAAAAGGGAAACAACCCAGACCGCCAGCUAAGGUCCCAAAGUUGUGGUUAAGUGGUAAACGAUGUGGGAAGGCUUAGACAGCUAGGAGGUUGGCUUAGAAGCAGCCAUCCUUUAAAGAAAGCGUAAUAGCUCACUAGUCGAGUCGGCCUGCGCGGAAGAUGUAACGGGGCUCAAACCACACACCGAAGCUGCGGGUGUCACGCAAGUGACGCGGUAGAGGAGCGUUCUGUAAGCCUGUGAAGGUGAGUUGAGAAGCUUGCUGGAGGUAUCAGAAGUGCGAAUGCUGACAUGAGUAACGACAAUGGGUGUGAAAAACACCCACGCCGAAAGACCAAGGGUUCCUGCGCAACGUUAAUCGACGCAGGGUUAGUCGGUUCCUAAGGCGAGGCUGAAAAGCGUAGUCGAUGGGAAACAGGUUAAUAUUCCUGUACUUCUGGUUACUGCGAUGGAGGGACGGAGAAGGCUAGGCCAGCUUGGCGUUGGUUGUCCAAGUUUAAGGUGGUAGGCUGAAAUCUUAGGUAAAUCCGGGGUUUCAAGGCCGAGAGCUGAUGACGAGUCGUCUUUUAGAUGACGAAGUGGUUGAUGCCAUGCUUCCAAGAAAAGCUUCUAAGCUUCAGGUAACCAGGAACCGUACCCCAAACCGACACAGGUGGUCGGGUAGAGAAUACCAAGGCGCUUGAGAGAACUCGGGUGAAGGAACUAGGCAAAAUGGCACCGUAACUUCGGGAGAAGGUGCGCCGGCUAGGGUGAAGGAUUUACUCCGUAAGCUCUGGCUGGUCGAAGAUACCAGGCCGCUGCGACUGUUUAUUAAAAACACAGCACUCUGCAAACACGAAAGUGGACGUAUAGGGUGUGACGCCUGCCCGGUGCCGGAAGGUUAAUUGAUGGGGUUAGCGCAAGCGAAGCUCUUGAUCGAAGCCCCGGUAAACGGCGGCCGUAACUAUAACGGUCCUAAGGUAGCGAAAUUCCUUGUCGGGUAAGUUCCGACCUGCACGAAUGGCGUAACGAUGGCGGCGCUGUCUCCACCCGAGACUCAGUGAAAUUGAAAUCGCUGUGAAGAUGCAGUGUAUCCGCGGCUAGACGGAAAGACCCCGUGAACCUUUACUGUAGCUUUGCACUGGACUUUGAGCCUGCUUGUGUAGGAUAGGUGGGAGGCUUUGAAGCGUGGACGCCAGUUCGCGUGGAGCCAUCCUUGAAAUACCACCCUGGCAUGCUUGAGGUUCUAACUCUGGUCCGUNNNNNNNNNNAGAGUAUAAAGGCAAAAGCGCGCUUGACUGCGAGACAGACACGUCGAGCAGGUACGAAAGUAGGUCUUAGUGAUCCGGUGGUUCUGUAUGGAAGGGCCAUCGCUCAACGGAUAAAAGGUACUCCGGGGAUAACAGGCUGAUACCGCCCAAGAGUUCAUAUCGACGGCGGUGUUUGGCACCUCGAUGUCGGCUCAUCACAUCCUGGGGCUGAAGCCGGUCCCAAGGGUAUGGCUGUUCGCCAUUUAAAGUGGUACGCGAGCUGGGUUUAGAACGUCGUGAGACAGUUCGGUCCCUAUCUGCCGUGGACGUUUGAGAUUUGAGAGGGGCUGCUCCUAGUACGAGAGGACCGGAGUGGACGAACCUCUGGUGUUCCGGUUGUCACGCCAGUGGCAUUGCCGGGUAGCUAUGUUCGGAAAAGAUAACCGCUGAAAGCAUCUAAGCGGGAAACUUGCCUCAAGAUGAGAUCUCACUGGGAACUUGAUUCCCCUGAAGGGCCGUCGAAGACUACGACGUUGAUAGGCUGGGUGUGUAAGCGUUGUGAGGCGUUGAGCUAACCAGUACUAAUUGCCCGUGAGGCUUGACCAU
Molecule: ribosomal RNA, 2790 nt
Filed under: Pseudomonas aeruginosa
Lineage: Bacteria; Pseudomonadati; Pseudomonadota; Gammaproteobacteria; Pseudomonadales; Pseudomonadaceae
Description: bacterial LSU rRNA
Rfam family: Bacterial large subunit ribosomal RNA
Source: RNAcentral